RNAcentral lists this transfer RNA (87 nucleotides) under Candidatus Magasanikbacteria bacterium CG10_big_fil_rev_8_21_14_0_10_38_6. Its description in RNAcentral is "tRNA-Ser". It matches the Rfam family "tRNA". Rfam says of the family: Transfer RNA (tRNA) molecules are approximately 80 nucleotides in length. Their secondary structure includes four short double-helical elements and three loops (D, anti-codon, and T loops). The record is from RNAcentral. Lineage: Bacteria; Candidatus Magasanikiibacteriota. RNAcentral also lists the same sequence under 1 other name.
GGAGAGGUCGCAUAGUGGUCUAGUGCGCCGCCUUGGAAAGGCGGUAAGGGUGAAAGUCCUUCAGGAGUUCGAAUCUCCUCCUCUCCG